CAAAACGGGCAAAUAUUUUACACAGAGAGUGGUGGAACGGGUUACCAGGGGAAGCAAAAACACAAAAGGUUGGGCAGAUACUGGAAAUCUGCAGGAAUGGCCUGGUAUGGGAACAGCAGAGGGUGGAAAGUCCUACAGGAAGUAGAGGAUACAGCCCAGCCCAGCAUAUCGCAGGUAGAACCUCUGGCGCUCUCUGUGUCCCCGUGCGGGGUCCCUGUGACGGAAUGCACUGCCUCCCACGUCCCUAAGACGUGCAGGGGUCACAGAGUUGUCCAGCAUUGAAUGAGACCCUUCGGCUCACUGUUGCUACGUUGGCCAUGAUGCCUAUCCAUACCGAUCCCCUAAUGGUGUACGGAGCUCUGGAUAGAGGGAGGGAGGACAUGUGAUGUUUAGGGUGGAUGGGCAUCUCUGGUCCGCAUCCAUCUCCUAAACCUCUCAUGCCUGCCUCCUAGUGGCACACCCCGGUACACCACUUCAGCUGGCAGGCUAAGUGACAUGAGGGGGUGGUGUUAACCUCGUCAGUGAAGCCAGAGUGGACGAGUUCCCCGAAGAGCUGCAGUGGCCACGUGUUCGAGACCAGGCAAGCCACCGAGUUGGAGGACAUAGUCUGUGGUCUGGCCUGGAUAGAGAUGGACCUCACCAGCCCCAGAAGCAUGAAAGUGCCCCUCCAACCCAUAAGAAGGGUGGUGGGAUCUGAACCGAGCCGAAUGGUGGGUUUGCUAUGUUGGCACCAGAACGAGUGGUGACAAGUCGAUCUGUGUCGGUUGAUUUGACUUGAUGAAAACGACACUCUUCAAGUCAAGUCAAGUCAAGUCACUUUUAUUGUCAUUUCAACCAUAACUGCUGGUACAGUUCAUAGUAAAAAUGAGACAACGUUUUUCAGGACCAUGGUGUUACAUGACACAGUACAAAAACUAGACUGAACUAUGUAAAAUAAAGCUACACUAGACUACACACCUACACUGGACUACAUAAAGUGCACAAAAUCAGUGCAGGCAUUACAAUAAAUAGUAAACAGGACAAUAGGGCAAGGUGUCAGUCCAGACUCUGGGUAUUGAGGAGUCUGAUAGCUUGGGGGAAGAAACUGUUACAUAGUCUAGUCGUGAGAGCCCGAAUGCUUUGGAGCCUUUUCCCAGACGGCAGGAGGGAGAAGGGAUUGUAUGAGGGGUGCAUGGGGUCCUUCAUAAUGCUGAUUCCUUUGUGGA
Hypanus sabinus (Atlantic stingray) is the source of this 1205-nucleotide long non-coding RNA. RefSeq lists it as uncharacterized. Lineage: Eukaryota; Metazoa; Chordata; Chondrichthyes; Myliobatiformes; Dasyatidae. The record is from RefSeq and is a predicted model, not a curated record. The transcript has 3 exons.